Long non-coding RNA from Ictalurus punctatus (channel catfish), 4676 nucleotides. Lineage: Eukaryota; Metazoa; Chordata; Actinopteri; Siluriformes; Ictaluridae. The record is from Ensembl.
GGGGUGUGGGGGGGUGUCGGGGGGGAAAAAAAAUAGAUCCACAAAACCAACAAUCCCCCCGAGGGAAGCGCAGCACGCUCUCAAUCUGCAUCUCCUUCUCGUUAUUUAUGAAAAAUGCACUCCCGACACGAUCCCGUCCAUUAAUCAAUACCUUUCCCCUCUACGGCCUCCCGUGUGUGCAUGUAUAAACAGCUCGGAAUUAGGGGCGGGGUUAAUUAAUCAUCUAUUACACGGAAAUCAGCAGCGUUGCCACGGAGACGGCGAGAGAGAAACCGUGAUGAAUGUGAGGUCACCUCGCUGAGCGCCGUGUCCCGCUUCUUCAUCUAAAAGCUACACUGGAAUUUCGGUUCCUUUGUUUUUACACAAACUUCAUCACGUUCGGUUCGUUUUCACAAUGAACCCCACACCUACAAGUGAAACCCAAAAUCCCGACCCGGUCUCAUUCUGGUGUGAACCACGAUCCUGCGGAAAAAAACCACGUCCGUAAGGAAAAGAGCGGGAAAAAUCUCCUUCAGGACUUUCACAAAAGUCAUCAUAACAGUAAUAAUAAUAAUAAUAAUAAUAAUAAAACAAAUGGCUUCCGUUCUAAAACCUGAUUGGCUGAGACGACUGUAGAUCAAUUCCUAUACUGCGUAACACUUAACAUACAAAUCAAAAUAACUGAACUCUAUAUUGAUGUUAGAGGUUCUUGUCCGUUAUGUCGCUUAGCAACCAAAGCUUACUCUCAGCGGACUACGUUGUGCUGAUUGUGAAGAUUAUUAAACAAUACAUUUCUCACUGUAACUCCUGCCCUGAAGCGGUCUACUGCUUUAGACCGGUUCGACCUUCGAGAUAUUCUGACUGAAACGUAGCGCUACGUCGUACCGAAUCGCGCCCCUGCGGAGAUACGAUCUGCUUAACGCUGGUCCGACUUCCCCCCGAUCGGAUUCACCAGCGUACAUAAACCAUGUCAACAUCUCGUUUGAGAAGACGCUGGAAAGCAAAAUAAAGUCCUGCGCAAAGCUCAUACGACAUGCAAAACACGUCAGCUGACGCUUACAGAAGCGGAGGACAUAAACAUGCUAGCCGCCAGAUUCUGAGGAAAUGAUUAAUGAAUGAAAUAAAAGGUUUUUCGGUUGUGGCUGAAACGUUCACAGACCACCGUCUGACGUCGGGUCGAAGCACAGGCGCGGUUAGAUUAAUGCCGUAUACGUUCAGUCCGCCGACGCACUUCACGGGCUAGCUGGUCCCACGUUAUUCCAUUACUGUAGCUACCACCAGCUAUGACAUCUAUACCAUCAGAGCUGCUGGCGGAAAACCGGAUCGUCUCUCCAUCCGGAAAAAUAAAUAUCCCGUGUCACUUACCGUAAAACUUUACUUUUCUACAUGCCUUUUCUCAGCCACGACAUUUUUAUAAAUAACAAAUGAGAAAAAAUAUUUACGCCCUCUCCGCCAUUUGUUUGACCUUAAACGCCGUAAUUACAUUCGAGGAGAGCAGAGUUUCCGGUGUGGGAAAGCGGUGCGUAGAAACCGUGCAGAAAUUCGUCGUCGAGCUUAAAUUAAAAGGUAAAUAUCGACCCGCUACGAACCGAUCGCUAAUUACAAUCAUAAUGUUCUGGUGAUUCUUCAGUAAGUACACAUCGAAUCCCUGACCCGAGGACAAACGCACGCGUGCGAACGGUGCGGCGUGUUUCAAAACCGCCGAGACGUCGACUCAAACGAAUCGAACAUAUUAAAUGAAUACAUUUUAAAAACGUACGCGAUGGAAAAAGAGAACGGAAUGAAAGCGGGGGAGGUUUUAGGAAACUGAGCGGCCGGGUGACGAGCGCCACGCUCCCGGUCACGCCUCCACAUGCAAAUCCACCCCGCAGUGGAAGCUCUCCGUGCUAACUUCCUCCCAGACACCACAUCGUUUGCAUGAACACAAGCUGCUGCUGAACAGAUAUGAAGAAAAUACCGACGUGUGCUCCGAGCCUGGACGCUUCCACACGCACAACGGGUUCUUUACGAUAGUCACGGGUUCUUAGUGAACACUGUGGUGCACGGUUCUGUGUAGAACUUUCAAGGGGGUGUUCAGAGGGAACUGAAGAACCCUCAACGGUUCUGAAUUUAAGAGUGGACAGCUGAGCAGAUCAGGGUGAAGAACCUCGGGCACUGACUUGGGCACUGCCUCGGGCACUGCCUCGGGCAGUGACUCGGGCACUGACUCGGGCACUGCCUCGGGCACUGACUCGGGCACUGACUCGGGCACUUCGGUGAAGCUGGGACGUAAACUUCAACCGGGAGCUCCACUGUUAGUACAGUAAAGGUUCCACCUAAAGCAUUUUAAGGUACCUUGGUUUGCUCCUCUAGGGGAACUCUUACCCUAUACUCACACCGACUAAAAGUUUCUACCAUUUUUAAUCAUAAAGGUUUGUUUUCUUUUUUUAAUGCUACUAAUUUUGUACAUAUUCUAUUGAAAUGUUUCACGGACAUUAAACUCAUUUUGUAAUUCGAGCAGCUUCAUUUCGAAAUCAAAACUCUGGAGGAGCACAAACGGAACUCUGGGAAUUAUGUCGUGAUUAAAAAAAAUCCAAAAUAAAUCUAAAUCGCCCGGUGUUUUAGCGUCUUCGAAGUCGACGCCCUUUUCGCCUAGAAUUUGCAGAAAUGCCUUCUCGGCGUUUCCUCGCGCGAGCUCUUGAGGAAUUUCCCCGAGAUGAUUUUUGAACGGUAUUGAAGGGGUUCGCGCCGACGCCGGACUCUCAUCUCCCGCUUUUCAGAAUACUUCCCUCCGAGCCGUCCGUUUAAAUGAAGAUAUAUUUGUAAAUAAAUUGUUAGAUUAGGAAGGGGGCGUGGCUUCCAGUGGGUCGGUUUAUAUUAAUGAGUUCAAAGCACUUACGCGGCGGUCGAUCGGUUCGGUAUAUUUCUGAGAGAUCUCGUACGGGCGUACUGGAAUCUCGGCGCUCCGAAGGUUAGCACGUCUGCAGGACGCCGACGCUGAGCCUAGCCGCGUGUGUGGUCCCGGGGUGAGACGCGAGACCGGUCUCGUACGUCGUUACAGCUGUGGCUUCGCGAACCUCCACGUCAACAGCUCUGAUAUCACCGGGGUUUAGUCUUGCAUACUUGUACAACAUCGUGCAAGAUCAGGCAUGACGGCGUGCCACCCACCGCAGCGCUUCAGACGAGUCUCUCAGAGGAACCGGGCGCUCCAGAGGAUCCCUCGUUCACUCUGCCCGGUUCUCCGUCUCUCUCUUUAAUCAUGUACCUGCAUGUCAAGUCAAAGGAGAGUGCAUUCUCCACAGACCAUUUCUCCCAGCUCUAAUGAGGCCUGACCAUUCCGACGCGCUGAAUACGUGACAAAAACUCAGCCGGCCGCCAUUUUGGUUUAGGGGAGGGUUGUCGGGGGGGUUUUAGAAAAAACUCCGCCGCCUGCGAAAAGCCACCCGCCGCACAACGUGGACAUUUUAGGUGAUUUUCCACCUCGUCUCAAACGGUGCUGUAAUUUUCCACUGUAGAGAUCACCUCGUGCUGCGACUUCAGAAUCUAACCUGAUCGUUAAUACGUCACCACGCCACGGAGCUGCCGAGUUCUGGAUUCCGAUUGGUCGGAAUGGGAUAAAGCGCUCGUAACAUAGUAACAGCGAUCCUCGCGGACAAGUCAGGAACGUUUACUAAACAUCGGGUCAUGCCGAGUUCACGUCGAUGCAAAAUACGCAUAGAGUGAUGAGAAACCGUGUCUGAAGUGAGACAGAAGGUUAUUAAGGUUCAUACGGAACACAAAGGAAAUACAGAUCACCGAACACGCGCCAGCGUUUAUUUCCGUCGACACGCCGCGGCGUUUUCCCGACACGCCGCUCCGUCCUGUUUUUUUUUAAUCCUACGUCGUGUGAAGAAAUCUAGAUUUGGCGUGAUCAGGACGCAGACGCGAUCGUUCUGUCGUUGUGUUUUUUCAGUCACGAUAUGGAUUUGAAGAUUUGUGUGCUAAAGAUGUUCUCUACUCCACGCCAUCUCGUAUCUUCCCACAGCGCACUAGAGCAAACCUCUCAUUUCUACACAAAAGUCGGAAAGACUACGGAAUGAUAGCAGGGACGAGACAAAAACCGCUCCGCUGGAGCUUCUCCACUUCCUAACUCCUGCAGCAGUGGUGAGAGAAAUUACUCUCUCACACACACACACACACACACACACACACACACACACACACACGAGUGGUGUUGGGUGUUGGAGGAAUCGGAGCGCUCGGCCUCAUUCGAGAGAAAAGUUCACGCAGAGUUGAAGCCACAUCUGGGAACGUUUACUGCUGGAGAACUUAGACAGAGCAGAAACCCUUAAACAGAGCUCUUUCUUCUUCUCUUCUUCCCCGAACGGAAAAUGAAAGCGAGCUGGCGUGCGACUGCCUGCCACCCGACACUCCAGGAACUCCGUAGGAGCACCGUAACUUCAUCCACGCGACCAUCUACUGUAUCUCGAUUCCUCCGUUCGGAAGGAUUAACCCUGCGAGACUCCGACCUGCGGGUUUAUCCGUCAGGAAGAAAAUCGAUAACGUACCGUCAGACAGUAAACCACCACCACACCACGGACACGUCGAAUUCUGCACCCUGAUUGGUCAGAAGGUGGUGAUCAAGUCUCUGGAGCAGCAGCUCCGACAGGUUUAUAUGAACGCGUUCCGGUUUACGGUGCUUACGGAAGGAGUCUCCAGUGUCGGCGCUGUGUAACGGU